UCUCCGUAGGUGAACCUGCGGAGGGAUCAUUACAGUGUUCUCGCCCUCUCGGGUAGAUCUCCCACCCACCGUUCUCGUUACUGUCGUUUCUUUGGCGGGCCACCGGGUCCCCGGCCGCCGGCGCCUUGCGGCCGGCUCGCGCCCGCCACAGGCCUUCAAACUCUGAAUGUUAGUGUCGUCUGCGUACUAUAUCAUAGUUAAAACUUUCAACAACGGAUCUCUUGGUUCUG
RNAcentral lists this unclassified non-coding RNA (230 nucleotides) under plant metagenome. Its description in RNAcentral is "partial contains small subunit ribosomal RNA, internal transcribed spacer 1, and 5.8S ribosomal RNA". The record is from RNAcentral.